AUUUAUUCAUCAUUUUCCAACAUAAAGGUAUGGACCAACCAUGACCAUAUAUAAAUAUACCAAGUGCAACCACCUUCAUUCUGCAUUUUUACCACUUAUAAACAACAUUUAAUAAAUUCAAAAAUUUCUUCAAACAUGAUGAGUCUCUUACAUUUCUUCUUGUUCUUAUUCCUCUUUACCUCUCCAGGAGUUCAGGCCAUCCAGCUGCAGCCACCACGAUAUUCCGGUCCAUCACCGAGAAAAGAGCAAGUCAUCUUUCAACCUCUUCCAAGUUCUUGGGUUGGUCCAGAUGUCAAAUUCGAGAAUAGGAGAGUUCCCACUGGAUCUAAUCCUCUGCAUAACAAGAAGAGAAAGGACUAGAAUUAUGGUUUACACGUCUGCACUUAGUGUUUGUUAUUUGGUAGGUAGUCAGCUCUCAGUUAACUAAGUUUCAUUCAUUAUCACUAUUGGUGAUUCAAAAUUUAUUUCAAUUAACUGGAAUAAAUUUUCAAUCACCAUUAGAAACUUUGUAACAAAACAUACAAAGUUUAUUGUAGUGCAGUUGUAUUUUAAUUAUAGCAUCUCUUUCGAUUUUUAGUGUUACUCUGUUAAUCUUCAGUUCUUUUGUAAUAUUUGCCUAUAUUUAGCUAGUUGGUUUGUGGACUUUGUUAAGGGUAGGAAUGUGUGAUGUUUGUCAGCAGUAGUUUGAAAAAUAGUCUGAUUUCAU
Molecule: long non-coding RNA, 706 nt
Filed under: Nicotiana benthamiana
Lineage: Eukaryota; Viridiplantae; Streptophyta; Magnoliopsida; Solanales; Solanaceae
Description: long non-coding RNA (NBEN_LNC025740)
Source: RNAcentral